CGGGUCCUACGGGGGGCAGCAGUGGGGAAUAUUGCACAAUGGGGGAAACCCUGAUGCAGCAACGCCGCGUGAGUGAAGAAGUAUUUCGGUAUGUAAAGCUCUACCAGCAGGGAAGAAAAUGACGGUACCUGAGUAAGAAGCCCCGGCUAACUACGUGCCAGCAGCCGCGGUAAUACGUAGGGGGCAAGCGUUAUCCGGAUUUACUGGGUGUAAAGGGGGCGCAGACGGCGAUGCAAGCCAGGAGUGAAAGCCCGGGGCCCAAACCCGGGACUGCUCUUGGAACUGCGUGGCUAGAGUGCAGGAGG
Molecule: ribosomal RNA, 305 nt
Filed under: uncultured bacterium
Lineage: Bacteria
Description: bacterial SSU rRNA
Rfam family: Bacterial small subunit ribosomal RNA
Source: RNAcentral